Molecule: ribosomal RNA, 506 nt
Filed under: uncultured bacterium
Lineage: Bacteria
Description: partial 16S ribosomal RNA
Rfam family: Bacterial small subunit ribosomal RNA
Source: RNAcentral
AGUGAACGCUGGCGGUAGGCCUAACACAUGCAAGUCGAACGGCAGCACAGAGGAGCUUGCUCCUUGGGUGGCGAGUGGCGGACGGGUGAGGAAUACAUCGGAAUCUACUCUGUCGUGGGGGAUAACGUAGGGAAACUUACGCUAAUGCCGCAUACGACCUACGGGUGAAAGCAGGGGAUCUUCGGACCUUGCGCGAUUGAAUGAGCCGAUGUCGGAUUAGCUAGUUGGCGGGGUAAAGGCCCACCAAGGCGACGAUCCGUAGCUGGUCUGAGAGGAUGAUCAGCCACACUGGAACGGAGACACGGUCCAGACUCCUACGGGAGGCAGCAGUGGGAAAUAUUGGACAAUGGGCGCAAGCCUGAUCCAGCCAUACCGCGUGGGUGAAGAAGGCCUUCGGGUUGUAAAGCCCUUUUGUUGGGAAAGAAAUCCAGCUGGCUAAUACCCGGUUGGGAUGACGGUACCCAAAGAAUAAGCACCGGCUAACUUCGUGCCAGCCGCCGCGGUAA